RNAcentral lists this transfer RNA (67 nucleotides) under Marmota monax (woodchuck). Its description in RNAcentral is "tRNA.Val". The record is from RNAcentral. Lineage: Eukaryota; Metazoa; Chordata; Mammalia; Rodentia; Sciuridae.
GGUUAUGGCUCAGCGGUAGAGUGUUCGCCUAACACAUGCGAGGCCCUGGGUUCGAUCCUCAGCACCA